UACGGAGGGUGCCAGCGUUAUCCGGAUUCACUGGGUUUAAAGGGUGCGUAGGUGGGCAGGUAAGUCAGUGGUGAAAUCUCCGGGCUUAACCCGGAAACUGCCAUUGAUACUAUCUGUCUUGAAUACCGUGGAGGUGAGCGGAAUAUGUCAUGUAGCGGUGAAAUGCUUAGAUAUGACAUAGAACACCAAUUGCGAAGGCAGCUCACUACACGAAUAUUGACACUGAGGCACGAAAGCGUGGGGAUCAAACAGG
This 253-nucleotide ribosomal RNA is filed under the name uncultured bacterium. RNAcentral describes it as "partial 16S ribosomal RNA". It matches the Rfam family "Bacterial small subunit ribosomal RNA", at positions 524 to 776 of the family's 1533-position model. The record is from RNAcentral.